GGCAGGUGAGGAAAGUCCGGGCUUCAUAGGGCAGGAUGCCGGAUAACAUCCGGUGGAGGUGACUCCAAGGCCAGUGCAACAGAAAUAUACCGCCCCAUAUACAGUUUUUGGACUGUAUAGGAAAACAGCUAUGCUGUCUUCUUUGGGGUAAGGGUGGAAGGGCAGUGUAAGAGACUACCGCCUGCACGGUAACGGGCAGGGCACAUGUAAACCCCAUCCGAAGCAAGACCAAACAGAAAGCGCUUAAGCUUGCCCGGCGAGCUUUCAGGUAGGUCGCUUGAGGCUGCUGGUAACAGCAGUCCUAGAUAGAUGAUCAUUCACGACAUAACCCGGCUUAUCGUCCUGCUUGA
This 350-nucleotide RNase P RNA is filed under the name pig gut metagenome. Its description in RNAcentral is "Bacterial RNase P class A". It matches the Rfam family "Bacterial RNase P class A", at positions 36 to 364 of the family's 367-position model. From Rfam's summary of the family: Ribonuclease P (RNase P) is a ubiquitous endoribonuclease, found in archaea, bacteria and eukarya as well as chloroplasts and mitochondria. Its best characterised activity is the generation of mature 5'-ends of tRNAs by cleaving the 5'-leader elements of precursor-tRNAs. The record is from RNAcentral.